This 76-nucleotide transfer RNA is filed under the name Candidatus Uhrbacteria bacterium CG_4_10_14_0_2_um_filter_41_7. RNAcentral's name for it is "tRNA-Thr". It matches the Rfam family "tRNA". From Rfam's summary of the family: Transfer RNA (tRNA) molecules are approximately 80 nucleotides in length. Their secondary structure includes four short double-helical elements and three loops (D, anti-codon, and T loops). RNAcentral also lists the same sequence under 2 other names. Lineage: Bacteria; Candidatus Uhriibacteriota. The record is from RNAcentral.
GCCUUCGUAGCUUAGCUGGUAGAGCAAUACUUUCGUAAAGUAGAGGUCGGCGGUUCAAAUCCGCCCGAAGGCUCCA